This 465-nucleotide ribosomal RNA is filed under the name uncultured bacterium. RNAcentral describes it as "partial 16S ribosomal RNA". It matches the Rfam family "Bacterial small subunit ribosomal RNA", at positions 338 to 795 of the family's 1533-position model. The record is from RNAcentral.
CCUACGGGUGGCAGCAGUGGGGAAUAUUGCGCAAUGGGCGAAAGCCUGACGCAGCGACGCCGCGUGAGGGAUGAAGGUCUUCGGAUCGUAAACCUCUGUCAGCAGGGAAGAACGGUCACUGUGCUAAUCAGCAGUGAAUUGACGGUACCUGCAAAGGAAGCACCGGCUAACUCCGUGCCAGCAGCCGCGGUAAUACGGAGGGUGCGAGCGUUAACCGGAAUUACUGGGCGUAAAGCGCUCGUAGGCGGUAUGUCAAGUCAAGGGUGAAAUCCCCGCGCUCAACGUGGGUACUGCCUUUGAAACUGGCAAACUGGAGUGUGUGAGAGGAUAGUGGAAUUCCAGGUGUAGGAGUGAAAUGCGUAGAUAUCUGGAGGAACAUCAGUGGCGAAGGCGACUAUCUGGCACAUAACUGACGCUGAGGAGCGAAAGCGUGGGUAGCAAACAGGAUUAGAUACCCGAGUAGUC